UUAGGAACAGCCCCGGGUUGGCCAGGAAGCUGUGGAAGGCGGUGCUUCUGUAGCUUCGUCAGCAGCCCGACUGCGCAUGUCCAGCACCUGCGCUCACUUGCUUCCAUCCCAAGGUGGUCUGGUGGUUUGCGUGCCGAGCUGCUCUUCCUCGGUGUAAGUGCCUCCUUCGGUAUCCCUUUAUGCCCGUUAAAAAAGUCCGUCAUUGCAACUGUCGUGACAAGAACUGAGGAAGACAAAUCAACCUGAUGUUUGGUGCCAUGAAACAGAUUGCUGACUGCCUCCAGAUAAGAUACCCAUAUUUAAUCAGGAGGAAGAGAAACAAGAUCAGACAAAUCCAAAUGUAUGUUUUUCUACAAAAUACCUUACCAGUACCCCUCAAAACUGUCAAGGUCAUUCAUAGCAAGGAAACUUUGAGGAACUGCCAUAGCCAAGAAGAGCCCAAAGAGACAUGGCCAAAUAUCAUGUGGUAACCUAUUCAGAAUAAUAAAAGGACACAGAUGAAAUGCCUAAAAUGUGGUCAGUUGACCUAGUUACUGCUAGAAGUGGAAGCAACUCUUAUGAAGUAGUAAAUUCAUUUCUCUUCAUCAAGGAAAAAAGCUUUAAGAGGAACUAAUUAACAAUUUCAUUUCACCAAGUUUGUAGCUCAUAUGCUCUUUGAACACAUAUACAAGGAGACCUCCAUGUAAAGAUAUGAAAACACAUAAAGAUAGACGAUGACCAUAUGAGAAUGGGUGAUGAGUGGAGUUAUGCUGUUUGCAAGUCAAGGAACAACUGCUACCAAAAGUUCAAAGAGGCCAGGAAGAAUCUUAUCUCCUAGACACUUUGAAUGGAGCAUAGUCUGCCGACAUCUUGAUUUCACACUUCUAGCCCCUACAACUGUGAGAAUAAAUUUCUGUUGUUUUAAGCAUCUAGCUUGUGGUAUUUUGUAACAGCCACUCUAGAAACUUA
Molecule: long non-coding RNA, 948 nt
Organism: Bubalus bubalis (water buffalo)
Lineage: Eukaryota; Metazoa; Chordata; Mammalia; Artiodactyla; Bovidae
Exons: 5
Source: RefSeq, a predicted model, not a curated record